UUAUCUUUGCCGCGAUUUGGUUCAUCGCCUGUAUCCAACAGAUGGUGAUUAAAAGGGAAUCGGGUGUAAAUCCCGGACAGUCCCGCUGCUGUGAAACUCUAUGCAAUAUCUUAUGAAUAAACUAAUAACACGUCACUGAUGCAGAAUCGGGAAGACACAUAAGAUAGGAGUCAGUCAGAAGACCUGCCAAUUCAAGUUAGACGUU
This 205-nucleotide non-coding RNA is filed under the name Bacteroides reticulotermitis. RNAcentral also lists the same sequence under 1 other name. The record is from RNAcentral. Lineage: Bacteria; Pseudomonadati; Bacteroidota; Bacteroidia; Bacteroidales; Bacteroidaceae.